Molecule: ribosomal RNA, 638 nt
Filed under: uncultured bacterium
Lineage: Bacteria
Description: bacterial SSU rRNA
Rfam family: Bacterial small subunit ribosomal RNA
Source: RNAcentral
GCUUAACUCCGGGCGUGCAGGCGAUACGGGCAUAACUUGAGUACUGUAGGGGAGACUGGAAUUCCUGGUGUAGCGGUGAAAUGCGCAGAUAUCAGGAGGAACACCGAUGGCGAAGGCAGGUCUCUGGGCAGUUACUAACGCUGAGGAGCGAAAGCAUGGGUAGCGAACAGGAUUAGAUACCCUGGUAGUCCAUGCCGUAAACGGUGGGCGCUAGGUGUGGGGGUCUUCCACGACUUCCGUGCCGUAGCUAACGCAUUAAGCGCCCCGCCUGGGGAGUACGGCCGCAAGGCUAAAACUCAAAGGAAUUGACGGGGGCCCGCACAAGCGGCGGAGCAUGUGGAUUAAUUCGAUGCAACGCGAAGAACCUUACCUGGGCUUGACAUAUGCAGGAUCGGCACAGAGAUGUGUUUUCCCUUGUGGUCUGUAUACAGGUGGUGCAUGGUUGUCGUCAGCUCGUGUCGUGAGAUGUUGGGUUAAGUCCCGCAACGAGCGCAACCCUUGUCUUGUGUUGCCAGCACGUAAUGGUGGGGACUCGCGAGAGACUGCCGGGGUUAACUCGGAGGAAGGUGGGGAUGACGUCAGAUCAUCAUGCCCCUUAUGUCCAGGGCUUCACACAUGCUACAAUGGUCGGUACAGUG